Non-coding RNA from Monodelphis domestica (gray short-tailed opossum), 431 nucleotides. The record is from RefSeq and is a predicted model, not a curated record. NCBI's taxonomy places the organism in Eukaryota, Metazoa, Chordata, Mammalia, Didelphimorphia, Didelphidae.
GGCUCAGGCUAAUGGAGAUAGGACUUAAGCACUGCAGAUUCUGUGAUAAAAGGACUGCCCCGAAACCCCACUGAAUCCUCUAUGACAGAGAACAUUAUGAAGUCACAGUGACUGUGUUUUACAGUGUCUUAUUAACUGGACCUUUCAGAUAGAGUCAAGAAAUGAUUAGUAUCAAGAAAAGCCACGAAAACCAACUCUCAACUAAACAAGGAACAAAUGCUACACAACCACCAGUUACUAAGAAUCCUACUUAAUGAUGAGUUGAGAUGAGAUGAGAUGAGAUGAGAUGAGAUGAAGACUCCAGAAGACUGGAAGGAAAAGAGAAAAGAAGAGAGGAAACUAUCAGUAUUGAAACCUAUCUCAAUAUAAGACAGUUUUAUUAUCUGAGUUCUAUUUAAUUUCAUCUUUAUUAAAUUGUAAUCAUGUAUAUA